CACCUCUAGCAUAUAAAGUAUUAGAGGCACCGCCUGCCCAGUGACUUACGUUAAACGGCCGCGGUAUCCUGACCGUGCAAAGGUAGCAUAAUCACUUGUUUCUUAAUUAGGGACUAGUAUGAAUGGCAUCACGAGGGCUUAACUGUCUCUUACAGCUAAUCAAUGAAAUUGACCUUUCCGUGAAGAGGCGGAAAUACAAUAAUAAGACGAGAAGACCCUAUGGAGCUUUAACUUUUCCCCUACAACCAGAUACAAACAAACCCACAGGUAUAAACUUAACUGGAUUCUAGGGGUGAGGUUUUGGUUGGGGUGACCUCGGAGAAUAAAAUAUCCUCCGAAAGACUGAAAUUUAGACCAACAAGUCAAAAUUAAAUUACGUCAAGACUGAUCCAGAAGUCUUCUGAUCAAUGGACCAAGUUACCCUAGGGAUAACAGCGCAAUCUCACUUGAGAGUCCAUAUCGAUAGUGAGGUUUACGACCUCGAUGUUGGAUCAGGACAUCCUAAUGGUGCAGAAGCUAUUAAGGGUUCGUUUGUUCAACGAUUAAAGUCCU
This 552-nucleotide ribosomal RNA is filed under the name Chaetodipus hispidus (hispid pocket mouse). RNAcentral's name for it is "partial 16S ribosomal RNA". It matches the Rfam family "Bacterial large subunit ribosomal RNA", at positions 1816 to 2597 of the family's 2925-position model. Lineage: Eukaryota; Metazoa; Chordata; Mammalia; Rodentia; Heteromyidae. The record is from RNAcentral.